GAAGCAAAGCCGCGAGGUAGAGCAAAUCUCAAAAAAAACAAUCCCAGUUCAGACUGCAGGCUGCAACUCGCCUGCACGAAGUCGGAAUUGCUAGUAAUCGUAGGUCAGCAUACUACGGUGAAUACGUUCCCGGGCCUUGUACACACCGCCCGUCAAACCAUGAGAGUUGGCAACACCCGAAGUCGGUAGUCUAACCGCAAGGAGGACGCCGCCGAAGGUGGGGUUGAUGAUUAGGGUUAAGUCGUAACAAGGUAAC
Molecule: ribosomal RNA, 256 nt
Filed under: uncultured bacterium
Lineage: Bacteria
Description: partial 16S ribosomal RNA
Rfam family: Bacterial small subunit ribosomal RNA
Source: RNAcentral